GAUGAACGCUGGCGGCGUGCCUAAUACAUGCAAGUCGAGCGAACGGACGAGAAGCUUGCUUCUCUGAUGUUAGCGGCGGACGGGUGAGUAACACGUGGAUAACCUACCUAUAAGACUGGGAUAACUUCGGGAAACCGGAGCUAAUACCGGAUAAUAUUUUGAACCGCAUGGUUCAAAGGUGAAAGACGGUCUUGCUGUCACUUAUAGAUGGAUCCGCGCUGCAUUAGCUAGUUGGUAAGGUAACGGCUUACCAAGGCAACGAUGCAUAGCCGACCUGAGAGGGUGAUCGGCCACACUGGAACUGAGACACGGUCCAGGCUCCUACGGGAGGCAGCAGUAGGGAAUCUUCCGCAAUGGGCGAAAGCCUGACGGAGCAACGCCGCGUGAGUGAUGAAGGUCUUCGGAUCGUAAAACUCUGUUAUUAGGGAAGAACAUAUGUGUAAGUAACUGUGCACAUCUUGACGGUACCUAAGCAGAAAGCCACGGCUAACUACGU
RNAcentral lists this ribosomal RNA (496 nucleotides) under uncultured bacterium. RNAcentral describes it as "partial 16S ribosomal RNA". It matches the Rfam family "Bacterial small subunit ribosomal RNA", at positions 28 to 506 of the family's 1533-position model. The record is from RNAcentral.